Molecule: long non-coding RNA, 252 nt
Filed under: Elaeis guineensis (African oil palm)
Lineage: Eukaryota; Viridiplantae; Streptophyta; Magnoliopsida; Arecales; Arecaceae
Description: long non-coding RNA (EGUI_LNC024533)
Source: RNAcentral
AUGCAACAUACAAGCAAACAAGCAUAUAAAUACUGCCAUAGGCUCUUGAUUUCUACUACUCUAACUAAAGCCACUAGCAAAUCAGCACAUUCAAAAUACAUUGAAUGAAUGCAUUAAAAUAAAAAAUUGAAAACAUGUAUAUAGUUAAAUCUAUGUAAACAUCUCUAACUGAGGCAAAUAAUAAAUAUUUUUUUGAUAAAAAUAAGUAGACAUUUCCUCAAAUACCUUUCUUAUCCAUCGGGAUAUAUAGAG